This 427-nucleotide long non-coding RNA is filed under the name Heterocephalus glaber (naked mole-rat). RNAcentral describes it as "lncRNA (ENSHGLG00000049161.1)". The record is from RNAcentral. Lineage: Eukaryota; Metazoa; Chordata; Mammalia; Rodentia; Bathyergidae.
AGUAAGCAACCAUUCAUCCACCACGGAGCCUGUGUCACCAGCAGCAUUUCCUUCUGGAAAGAGCUUGCAGGAAGCUGUGUCCUUGAGCAUUCCUGUCCCUGUCCCAGACUGGGCUGGAGCCAGGUGGGCAGCAGUGAGGAGGCAGCCAUCCCACACGCUGGGCAGCGUAGCCAGGUGCAGGGCACCAUGGAGACCUUCAUGGGUCGCUAAAACAAGCUGAAGGACACCCACGAGAAGGAGGUCCUGGGCCUGCAGAACAAGCUUCUGGAACUGAACUCUGAGAGGUGCCGGUGAGUCAGCCGCUCAGAACUCCCCUUGAUGCCCCAGGGCGCGAGUUGCUGCUGUCCCAGGGAAAGAAGGGAAACUGAGACUCAGUGUGGGGGUGGGGUGAGUCACUGGCCAAGGUCCCACAGCUCACAGGUGGUGG